Pelobates cultripes (western spadefoot toad) is the source of this 246-nucleotide non-coding RNA. NCBI's taxonomy places the organism in Eukaryota, Metazoa, Chordata, Amphibia, Anura, Pelobatidae. The record is from the annotation of a GenBank genome assembly.
GUGUCCUUAAAGCGGGUGUGUUACGCUAACAGUGGAUACGGUGACGAGUGCCACCACUUAGAUCUGGUGACACAAAGCUUGUAUUUAAAAAAAACAACCACUUUUUUCACUGUUAUAUAUUGAAUAGCAGUCAGUGUCCUUAAAGCGGGUGUGUUACGCUAACAGUGCAUACGGUGACAAGUGCCACUAAUUAGAUCCUGUGUCACAAUAGUUUGGAUUUAAAAAAAAAAUAAUAUUUUUUCACUG